AGAGUUUGAUCCUGGCUCAGAUUGAACGCUUUCGGCAUGCCUUACACAUGCAAGUCGAACGGCAGCACGGGAUCUUGCUCCUGGUGGCGAGUGGCGAAGGGGUGAGUAAUAUAUCGGAACGUACCCUAGAGUGGGGGAUAACGCAGCGAAGGUUGCGCUAAUACCGCAUACGAUCUACGGAUGAAGGUGGGGGAUCGCAACACCUCGUGCUCAUGGAGCGGCCGAUAUCUGAUUAGCUAGUUGGGGGGGUAAAGGCCUACCAAGGCAUCGAUCAGUAGCUGGUCUGAGAGGACGACCAGCCACACUGGAACUGAGACACGGUCCAGACUCCUACGGGAGGCAGCAGUGGGGAAUUUUGGACAAUGGGGGCAACCCUGAUCCAGCAAUGCCGCGUGAGUGAAGAAGGCCUUCGGGUUGUAAAGCUCUUUUGUCAGGGAAGAAACGGUGAGGGCUAAUAUCCUUUACUAAUGACGGUACCUGAAGAAUAAGCACCGGCUAACUACGUGCCAGCAGCCGCGGUAAUACGUAGGGUGCAAGCGUUAAUCGGAAUUACUGGGCGUAAAGCGUGCGCAGGCGGUUAUGUAAGUCAGAUGUGAAAUCCCCGGGCUCAACCUGGGAAUGGCAUUUGAGACUGCAUGGCUAGAGUGUGUCAGAGGGGGGUNGANUUCCNCGUGUNGCCGUGNNNUGCGUNGUGAUGUGGAGAAUUCCGAGGGCGGAAGGCAGCCCCCCUGGGGUUACCCCGAACGCUCAUGCACGAAAGCGGUGGGAGCCAAACAGGAUUAGAUACCCUGGUUGUCCCCCCCCUAAACGAUGUCUAUUAGUUGUCGGGACUUAAUUGUCUUGGUAACGCAGCUAACGCGUGAAGUAGACCGCCUGGGGAGUACGGUCGCAAGGAUUAAAACUCAAAGGAAUUGACGGGGACCCGCACAAGCGGUGGAUGAUGUGGAUUAAUUCGAUGCAACGCGAAAAACCUUACCUACCCUUGACAUGUACGGAACCUCUGAGAGAUUAGAGGGUGCUCGAAAGAGAGCCGUAACACAGGUGCUGCAUGGCUGUCGUCAGCUCGUGUCGUGAGAUGGUGGGUUAAGUCCCGCAACGAGCGCAACCCUUGUCAUUAGUUGCUACGAAAGGGCACUCUAACGAGACUGCCGGUGACAAACCGGAGGAAGGUGGGGAUGACGUCAAGUCCUCAUGGCCCUUAUGGGUAGGGCUUCACACGUCAUACAAUGGUACAUACAGAGGGCCGCCAACCCGCGAGGGGGAGCUAAUCCCAGAAAGUGUAUCGUAGUCCGGAUUGUAGUCUGCAACUCGACUACAUGAAGUUGGAAUCGCUAGUAAUCGCGGAUCAGCAUGUCGCGGUGAAUACGUUCCCGGGUCUCGCAAACACCGCCCGUCA
This 1396-nucleotide ribosomal RNA is filed under the name uncultured bacterium. RNAcentral's name for it is "bacterial SSU rRNA". It matches the Rfam family "Bacterial small subunit ribosomal RNA". The record is from RNAcentral.